GACGAACCGUGCGAACGUUGUUCGGAAUCACUGGGCUUAAAGGGCGCGUAGGCGGGCCCGCAAGUCAGGGGUGAAAUCCCACGGCUCAACCGUGGAAGUGCCUUUGAUACUGCGGGUCUCGAGGGAGGUAGGGGCGUGCGGAACUUCCGGUGGAGCGGUGAAAUGCGUAGAUAUCGGAAGGAACACCGGUGGCGAAAGCGGCGCGCUGGACCUCUUCUGACGCUGAGGCGCGAAAGCCAGGGGAGCGAACGGG
Molecule: ribosomal RNA, 253 nt
Filed under: uncultured bacterium
Lineage: Bacteria
Description: partial 16S ribosomal RNA
Rfam family: Bacterial small subunit ribosomal RNA
Source: RNAcentral